Molecule: long non-coding RNA, 1267 nt
Filed under: Oryctolagus cuniculus (rabbit)
Lineage: Eukaryota; Metazoa; Chordata; Mammalia; Lagomorpha; Leporidae
Description: lncRNA (ENSOCUG00000031039.1)
Source: RNAcentral
AGAGAAGAGGCCACAAGUCUCCUGGCAGUGGGGGAGGCCACCCUCUGCCUCUCUCGCCGCGAACGCAGAAGGCCGUAAAGACGCGAACAUCCGAAGGGCAGACGCCUGGAGAAAUGCAUAGAACAGAGGUAAUUGGAAAAGCUGUAAACUUCGAUUAAAGACUCCUGGGAGAAAUAGAAGCAGUAACAAGAUAGGAAAAGAAAUUGUAGCGAAGAAUUAAGUUCGAUUCAGAUCACUAGAGCUUGUUUAUUAAGGGAAAUUGCAUUCAUACAAACAGCUUGGCCUAUUUAAGCCACGCUUCAAAAAUUACCUCUUUCAAUAAAUAAUUAUUUGGAGCUUGUCCUCUCCGUAAAAAAUGGCUGCAGCUAUGUGUAAAUGAAUACUCACCGUAGAACAAACGAAUGUAAACAUCGUGGACUGCAAUUAUUCGUCCCUAGGAUAGCUGUAUUUUAGCGAAUCCAGAUGUUGAGCGAUUGCUUCAGAAUUGUGCAAUGUCAAGUGAUAAGCAGAUUUUGCCCAUUUCUUAAUGAGGCUUAAAAUGAUGCAUAAGUAAUGGAAAGGAGUACACAUGGUGGCCCAGGCUUAGGCCGGUCCUGGCAGCCUGGUGUGUGUCCACAGGGGAGCCCGGGUGGCUGCCGGCCACCAGGCCAUGUGGUUUGAGUUGUCUCCCACUGGGGGUGAUGGAUUUGAACUGGGCUGGCCGCAGCCCCCCACCCAAUCCCUUCUGUGACCAAAGGCGUGUGUUUGGGAGGGAGCUGGAUAUUGUCAAGGGUGGGACUGGGAUCACGGAACUGAGAAAGACAAAGAGGCCAGUGCGGUGGUGGACGCCAAGCCGCGGCCUCGUCGGCAUGUGCUGUGACCCCCGGAGCUGCCAGGUGCCUGCCUGGGGCUUGAGGGAAGAGGGCGCCAUGGGUGCUGUGCCCACCGAGGCCCGGGAAGACCCCGCCACACCCACCCUGGGAUCGAGGACCACGGGGACACGGCCGGGGCUCAGGGAGCGGAGGAGUGAGCCAGGACCACAGCGAGGCAUCAGGGGACCCGGCACUGAAGGACCUCGAAUGUGACAGCAGGAAGCCCGUCUCCAACUUCGGUUCUUGGAUAAAAUCCCUUAUCAUUGCUAUACCUGAGCCCCGCUGUCCUGGAGACUCAUGGUCAUGCACACCUACCUUUGAUACAAAGUGUGCAACUCCAGGUGGGUAACGUGACCCCCACCAUAAACGUGACCCCCACCAUAAACGUGACCCCCGUGCAACCAGGGCUCCUGUGU